GACGAACGCUGGCGGCGUGCUUAACACAUGCAAGUCGAGCGGAAAGGCCACUUCGGUGGUACUCGAGCGGCGAACGGGUGAGUAAACCGUGAGUAAUCUGCCCCUGGCUUUGGGAUAGCAACCGGAAACGGUGAUUAAUACAGGAUACGAUCCCUUAUCGCCUGGGCUGGUGGUGGAACGUUUUUUCGGCCAGGGAUGUGCUCGCGGCCUAUCAGCUUGAUGGUGAGGUAAUGGCUCACCAUGGCUCCGACGGGUAGCCGGCCUGAGAGGGUGACCGGUCACACUGGGACUGAGACACGGCCCAGACUCCUACGGGAGGCAGCAGUGGGGAAUAUUGGACAAUGGGCGGAAGCCUGAUCCAGCGACGCCGCGUGAGGGAUGACGACCUUCGGGUUGUAAACCUCUUUCAGCAGGGACGAAGCGCAAGUGACGGUACCUGCAGAAGAAGCACCGGCCAACUACGUGCCAGCCGCCGCGGUAA
This 481-nucleotide ribosomal RNA is filed under the name uncultured bacterium. RNAcentral's name for it is "partial 16S ribosomal RNA". It matches the Rfam family "Bacterial small subunit ribosomal RNA", at positions 28 to 523 of the family's 1533-position model. The record is from RNAcentral.